Long non-coding RNA from Caretta caretta (loggerhead turtle), 463 nucleotides. RefSeq lists it as uncharacterized. The record is from RefSeq and is a predicted model, not a curated record. NCBI's taxonomy places the organism in Eukaryota, Metazoa, Chordata, Testudines, Cheloniidae.
GGGACUAAAUAAUUCCGUGCAAACUGGUUACCCUGGUCAGUACAGGGAAGAACAGCUUCACCAGCUUCUAAGAGUGGGAGCAGUUUUUACCCAGGAGAUGCAGACCAGAAAACGCAGCUCUGCAAUCAAAGAAGGCAUUUACGCAUGUAUGCUCUGCAGCAGCUCUGUGUGAAAGGUACUUAGGAUUCCCAGAGUUUGGAUCCCCAUCUCCCUGAGUCCAGGCAGGGCCCUUUAAAAAAACCUCUCCAGAGCCGAUCCUAAGUACCAGUCAGAGGUGCCACAAAACAGCACAUGAUGCAUCUUCCUCUCAGGAAAAGCGUCUAGCCUUCUGCAUUGCCAGCCUCUAUUGCCUGGCAAGGGAAGAGCAAAGAAACAGACUCUUUGCAAGGUGACAUAUUUCAAUGGCUUUAAAGAAAGAUUGCAGCUUCAUCUUAACCUACUUUUUGUACUAUUUACUGGAAUG